Odocoileus virginianus texanus is the source of this 73-nucleotide non-coding RNA. NCBI's taxonomy places the organism in Eukaryota, Metazoa, Chordata, Mammalia, Artiodactyla, Cervidae. The record is from the annotation of a RefSeq genome assembly.
UCCCUGAUGGUCCAGUGGUUAAGACUCUACACUCCCAAUACUGGGACCCCAGGUUCGAUCCCUGGUUGGGGAA